This 264-nucleotide unclassified non-coding RNA is filed under the name Hevea brasiliensis (rubber tree). The record is from RNAcentral. Lineage: Eukaryota; Viridiplantae; Streptophyta; Magnoliopsida; Malpighiales; Euphorbiaceae.
GCAGUCUGGCCCUCCUAAAGUGAGGCAGAUUGUUCCAUCUACCCCGUUUGGCCCAAGUUCCAAUGCAGGGUUGGUUAGUAGCACUAACAACCUUGCAGGGCAGCAGCUCGCCUUUCACAGCAGAGAGAAUCAAGUGCCUCCUAGAAAGGGGGUUGUGCUUGGAAAUGGAAUGCCUUCCAUGCAUCCCCCUCCGUCAUCUGCAAACAUGAGUCAAGGUGCAGAUCAGACUUUGCCCGCAAAAAAUGCAUUAAAUAGCCCAGAAAA